CUGGAAGUCAAACAGCCUUGGCUGUAUGGAGAUACAGGCAGAAGGAGAAGAAACUAGGAGGGAAAAAUGAGGACAUCCCUUCUGUCAUGCAUGCUGCCCUCUCUUCUAGUCUUCAAGAGCCAAGAUGGCAUUUCUGUUUGGCUUAGGGAAUGGAAAUAAUGUGGAGUUGUGCGACCAGCUCAAGUUGGCAGAAAUUCAGUGGCCUCCAGAUUCUGACUGUGACUGCUAAGUUUCAUGUUACUCAUUCUCUCUUCCCAGUCAGCAGCACAGGUUCCAGGCUCCUGGAGUAUACAGUAUCCUCUCCUGCCUCCAGCCCUUGGAAGUACUCUUCCCUUGGAUUGCGUAUCUCCCCCCUGCCCUCACUGUCUGCCUUUUGAAGCCUUUCUGGCUCCCCAGGGACAGCUGUAUU
Molecule: long non-coding RNA, 409 nt
Filed under: Vulpes vulpes (red fox)
Lineage: Eukaryota; Metazoa; Chordata; Mammalia; Carnivora; Canidae
Description: lncRNA (ENSVVUG00000005247.1)
Source: RNAcentral